GGCUGGUCGGAAUGCAGUGGAGUUUACAAGUCAUUGAUCACAACUAGUUAUAGAUUUCUUUGUUUCUCCUCCACUCCCACAGUCUUUUUUUUUUUUGGACUAGCCAAAA
Molecule: Y RNA, 109 nt
Filed under: Chlorocebus sabaeus (green monkey)
Lineage: Eukaryota; Metazoa; Chordata; Mammalia; Primates; Cercopithecidae
Rfam family: Y RNA
About the family: Y RNAs are components of the Ro ribonucleoprotein particle (Ro RNP), in association with Ro60 and La proteins.
Source: Rfam by way of RNAcentral